GAUGAACGCUGGCGGCGUGCUUAACACAUGCAAGUCGAACGAUGAAGCCCAGCUUGCUGGGUGGAUUAGUGGCGAACGGGUGAGUAACACGUGAGUAACCUGCCCUUGACUCUGGGAUAAGCCUGGGAAACUGGGUCUAAUACUGGAUAUGACUUCUCAUCGCAUGGUGGGGGGUGGAAAGAUUUAUUGGUCUUGGAUGGACUCGCGGCCUAUCAGCUUGUUGGUGAGGUAAUGGCUCACCAAGGCGACGACGGGUAGCCGGCCUGGGAGGGUGACCGGCACACCGGGGCUGGGACACGGGCCAGACUUCUACGGGGGGGAGGAGGUGGGGAUAAUUCACAAAGGGGGCAAGCCUGAUGCAGCGGCGGCGGGGUAGGGAUGGCGGCCUUCGGGGUGGAAAACUCUUUCAGGAGGGAAGAAGGGGGAGUGAAGGGUCCUGGAGGAGGAGGGGCGGCUAACUACGGU
This 465-nucleotide ribosomal RNA is filed under the name uncultured bacterium. RNAcentral describes it as "partial 16S ribosomal RNA". It matches the Rfam family "Bacterial small subunit ribosomal RNA", at positions 28 to 507 of the family's 1533-position model. The record is from RNAcentral.